AUCAAGAGUUCCAUACUCUGCCAACUGAGGUAGCCAGCCGCCCCUGCCUUGUAAGGGUUUUUGCUUUUACCCUGAAUAAGAUCAGAAACUACUGAAGGUUUUGAGCAGAGGAGUGAUAAAGUUAGACUGAAGUUUUGAAAGGAUCAUUUUGGCUUCUGUUUGAGAAUCAUUCAAAGAUGAAAGCAAGAAAACCAGGAACCUGAAUAUCACCCACAGAUAAUACACCAAACUCAUUACUGCAUUCUUCGGAGGAGCCUUUUCCGGGAACAAACACACAUUCCUAGGAGGUGGAGGGACUCUUCUAUUUCUCUGCCCUCAGGAAGUUCUGCAACGGCCUCACCUGGAAUUACGAAACUGACCUAUGAAACUAGCCUUCUCCUCAAGCCCUCCAUGGAAGAGUGACCUGACUGAGCUUUAGAACUCACUCUCAUUGGUGGCGUUCUCGGAGCUUAACUGCUUGCUCAGCAACUAUAAAAGAACUGGUAA
This is a long non-coding RNA of Canis lupus familiaris (dog), 486 nucleotides long. RefSeq lists it as uncharacterized. The transcript is spliced from 2 exons. The record is from RefSeq and is a predicted model, not a curated record. NCBI's taxonomy places the organism in Eukaryota, Metazoa, Chordata, Mammalia, Carnivora, Canidae.